RNAcentral lists this long non-coding RNA (295 nucleotides) under Mustela putorius furo (domestic ferret). Its description in RNAcentral is "lncRNA (ENSMPUG00000029819.1)". The record is from RNAcentral. Lineage: Eukaryota; Metazoa; Chordata; Mammalia; Carnivora; Mustelidae.
UAGAGCACAAUAAUUAUAAGCAAAUGAAACAUGUCCUGCAUUUCAAGAUCGGCUGUUGUCGCUCCGGGAAUAGCUCUAGUCAUUUUUCUGACGCCGCCGUGGAAGCAUCUUGCCUGUUCCUCCAAAAGAUGGGCUGCCACGAAGAACAGUUUAGUCUGAGGGGCUGUGGAAACUGAAUUCCCUGCUUUACCUGACCCUGGCGACCUUGAUCGGGAAAACUUCUACUGAGAUUCUUUUCCCCAGACGUGGAUUUAGCAGGUGAGUAUCCGCCAGUUUUAUAAUGAACUUCAGUCCC